Molecule: ribosomal RNA, 597 nt
Filed under: Marinobacter sp.
Lineage: Bacteria; Pseudomonadati; Pseudomonadota; Gammaproteobacteria; Pseudomonadales; Marinobacteraceae
Description: bacterial SSU rRNA
Rfam family: Bacterial small subunit ribosomal RNA
Source: RNAcentral
GCGCAGCUUACACAUGCAGUCGAGCGGUAACAGGGGGUGCUUGCACCCCGCUGACGAGCGGCGGACGGGUGAGUAAUGCAUAGGAAUCUGCCCAGUAGUGGGGGAUAGCCCGGGGAAACCCGGAUUAAUACCGCAUACGCCCUUUGGGGGAAAGCAGGGGAUCUUCGGACCUUGCGCUAUUGGAUGAGCCUAUGUCGGAUUAGCUAGUUGGUGGGGUAAAGGCCUACCAAGGCGACGAUCCGUAGCUGGUCUGAGAGGAUGAUCAGCCACAUCGGGACUGAGACACGGCCCGAACUCCUACGGGAGGCAGCAGUGGGGAAUAUUGGACAAUGGGGGCAACCCUGAUCCAGCCAUGCCGCGUGUGUGAAGAAGGCUUUCGGGUUGUAAAGCACUUUCAGUGAGGAGGAAAACCUUCUGGUUAAUACCCAUGAGGCUUGACGUUACUCACAGAAGAAGCACCGGCUAACUCCGUGCCAGCAGCCGCGGUAAUACGGAGGGUGCAAGCGUUAAUCGGAAUUACUGGGCGUAAAGCGCGCGUAGGUGGUUUGAUAAGCGAGAUGUGAAAGCCCCGGGCUUAACCUGGGAACGGCAUUUCGA